AUGACGUCAAAUCAUCCAUGCCCCUUAUGUUCUGGGCUACACACGUGCUACAAUGGCCGGUACAGACGGACGCAAAGCCGCGAGGUGGAGCAAAUCCUAAAAAGCCGGUCUCAGUUCGGAUUGCAGGCUGCAAUUCGCCUGCAUGAAGUCGGAAUCGCUAGUAAUCGCAGGUCAGCAUACUGCGGUGAAUACGUUCCCGGGCCUU
RNAcentral lists this ribosomal RNA (205 nucleotides) under uncultured Bacillus sp. RNAcentral describes it as "partial 16S ribosomal RNA". It matches the Rfam family "Bacterial small subunit ribosomal RNA", at positions 1179 to 1382 of the family's 1533-position model. The record is from RNAcentral. Lineage: Bacteria; Bacillati; Bacillota; Bacilli; Caryophanales; Bacillaceae.